Long non-coding RNA from Gorilla gorilla gorilla (western lowland gorilla), 733 nucleotides. RefSeq lists it as uncharacterized. The transcript is spliced from 3 exons. The record is from RefSeq and is a predicted model, not a curated record. Lineage: Eukaryota; Metazoa; Chordata; Mammalia; Primates; Hominidae.
CUGCAGCUGGGCCUGGAGGCAGUGGCUCUACAGCAGCAGUGAGAGCUGAGCUGUGGCAGACACAUGCUCUUCCCCUGACUCACGGCUGCCGAGUUCCCUCCAGCGAGGCUGCUGACCUAUUUUUCUAUUAGGAACAACCAGCAAAUGUGAUAAUGAGGAAAAUGUAUACCGGCCCCUAUGAAGUUUAGUGAAGCCCGAAUGAAGUGGAGGAGGCCACGGAGAUGCAUGAGGAAGAGCAUUCCAGGCAGAGGGAACAGCAAGGACAAAAGCCCCUGGGCAGGAAUGGGUGUGCAAGCCUGAGAUCCAACAUGGCGGAGAGCAAGCCGGAAGUGCUGCGCGGGGAUCCUAAGGGAGCGCUGAACAGGACAAGCUCAGUUUUGUCUCUCAAACCUCCACAAUCAGACAUGUUCGGAGUUUGUUCCUUCUGGUGGGUUCGUGGUGUUGCUGGCUUCAGGAGUGAACCUACAGACCUUGGCGCUAUUUUACAUAAGGAAAGUGGGUGGUGAUUAACCUCAGAGUCUCCAGGGACAGACUAUCCAGGACUGUGCCUGAAAUAGAAGAGGAAUUAACAUCAUACAGAACUGAAUACGGUGACUGAGAGGAGUUUGUGUCUACCCUUUUAGGAAAGAAGAUGAGAAUAUGUAUGAAGGAGAGUCAUGUACUGUACAUUAAGCAAAAGCAUGAUGCUGUUAUUUGAAAUGUUAAUUAGAGGUGCCCAAUAAAAACUGCUCAG